UACGUAGGUGGCAAGCGUUAUCCGGAAUUAUUGGGCGUAAAGCGCGCGCAGGCGGUUUCUUAAGUCUGAUGUGAAAGCCCAGGGCUCAACCUUGGAACUGCCUUUGAUACUGGGCAUCUUGAGUAUGGGAGAGGUGAGUGGAACUCCGAGUGUAGAGGUGAAAUUCGUAGAUAUUCGGAAGAACACCAGUGGCGAAGGCGACUCACUGGCCCAUUACUGACGCUGAGGCGCGAAAGCGUGGGGAGCAAACAGG
This 253-nucleotide ribosomal RNA is filed under the name uncultured bacterium. Its description in RNAcentral is "partial 16S ribosomal RNA". It matches the Rfam family "Bacterial small subunit ribosomal RNA", at positions 524 to 776 of the family's 1533-position model. The record is from RNAcentral.